AUUGAACGCUGGCGGCAUGCCUUACACAUGCAAGUCGAACGACAGCACGGGAGCAAUCCUGGUGGCGAGUGGCGAACGGGUGAGUAAUAUAUCGGAACGUGCCCGAGUCGUGGGGGAUAACGUAGCGAAAGCUACGCUAAUACCGCAUACGAUCUAUGGAUGAAAGCGGGGGAUCGCAAGACCUCGCGCGAUUGGAGCGGCCGAUAUCAGAUUAGGUAGUUGGUGGGGUAAAAGCCUACCAAGCCUUCGAUCUGUAGCUGGUCUGAGAGGACGACCAGCCACACUGGAACUGAGACACGGUCCAGACUCCUACGGGAGGCAGCAGUGGGGAAUUUUUGGACAAUGGGCGCAAGCCUGAUCCAGCAAUGCCGCGUGCAGGAUGAAGGCCUUACGGUUGUAACGUUAGCG
RNAcentral lists this ribosomal RNA (408 nucleotides) under uncultured bacterium. RNAcentral describes it as "bacterial SSU rRNA". It matches the Rfam family "Bacterial small subunit ribosomal RNA", at positions 30 to 438 of the family's 1533-position model. The record is from RNAcentral.